Molecule: ribosomal RNA, 569 nt
Filed under: Hansenula anomala
Lineage: Eukaryota; Fungi; Ascomycota; Saccharomycetes; Phaffomycetales; Wickerhamomycetaceae
Description: Wickerhamomyces anomalus partial large subunit ribosomal RNA
Rfam family: Eukaryotic large subunit ribosomal RNA
Source: RNAcentral
CCCAAGGGAAUGCCUCAGUAACGGCGAGUGAAGCGGCAAAAGCUCAAAUAAAUCUAGCACCUACGGUGUUCGAGUUGUAAUUUGAAGAUGGUCCUUGGGUUUGGCUCUUGUCUAUGUUCCUUGGAACAGGACGUCAUAGAGGGUGAGAAUCCCGUCUGAUGAGAUGCCCAUUCCUAUGUAAGGUGCUAUCGAAGAGUCGAGUUGUUUGGGAAUGCAGCUCUAAGUGGGUGGUAAAUUCCAUCUAAAGCUAAAUAUUGGCGAGAGACCGAUAGCGAACAAGUACAGUGAUGGAAAGAUGAAAAGAACUUUGAAAAGAGAGUGAAAAAGUACGUGAAAUUGUUGAAAGGGAAGGGCAUUAGAUCAGACUUGGUGUUUUACGAUUAUCUUCUCUUCUUGAGUUGUGCACUCGUAUUUCACUGGGCCAGCAUCGAUUCGGAUGGCAAGAUAAUGGCAUUGAAUGUGGCUUCACUUCGGUGGAGUGUUAUAGCUUCUGCUGAUAUUGCCUGUCUGGAUCGAGGGCUGCGUCUUUUGACUAGGAUGCUGGCGUAAUAAGAUCUAAUGCAAAGUCA